Molecule: long non-coding RNA, 1199 nt
Organism: Cydia splendana
Lineage: Eukaryota; Metazoa; Arthropoda; Insecta; Lepidoptera; Tortricidae
Exons: 3
Source: RefSeq, a predicted model, not a curated record
AGAUUAUACUACAAUACAAACAAAAUGAAAACAAACAGUGAGAAACUUUAAACAGAAAUGAGUGAAAUGUGCAUCCAGGCCGAGCCCCUCCCCCGGCAUAUUACUUCCAGUGAAGAAUUGUACAUAAAACCAAGUCUCCAGAAUGAACUUGUGACUAUAUCCCGCCUAUUUUGUAUCAACAAUCAACUCAACACCAGACCAACAAAAGCUGGUAAUGAAAUCAACUGCCGGCUCUUCAGGCUUCCAAUCUGAAAAUAGCCAUUUCGGAGUCCCUGAUCUGCGCCGAUAACAACGAGUCAACAGCGCCCUCUAUAAUCAAGCCAACGUCAUCAAAUCAACAAUAUUUCCGCUGCCGCGCCUCGUUGUCGAGCCAAGAACGCCUCUUCCCUCGUGUCAACAACAUCUCUCCUGCAUCGAUAACAACUACAAACCUACAACGUCUCUGCAGCCGCUCCACGUCGUCAUGCCAAUAGUACCUCUCCUCCUGUGUAAACAUCAUCGAACCAACAACGCGUCUGGUGCCACGCCACACUGCCGUGCCAAUAACGCCCUCUAUUGUACAAACGAAAGUCAAAUGUGUAGUCCCAUAUCAUGAAGUGUAUACAAUGGUCCUGCAUUAAUCAAUACAAAGAACAGCUGCAGCAGAAUGUCAGAAGCAUAAACUAGAAGAGAUGUACCUAAUUUGAAUGAAAACAAAUACCUACAAUAGGACAUGUAUGUAGGCUGCGCUUGCUCUAUCAAGCUAACCUGAGAGCUGUAACUGUAGACACUUAACGCGCUAAAUGUUCUCUCAACAAAUCCAUCAUAGCUUAUUACGUUUUGUCUAUAAAACAUAGAAACUUACUAGGGUCCUAGUACGACAUAAAUUCACAUUCACGUCAUUGAAUUGAGGUAUGUAUGCUAACUGAUACCUAACAACGACGGGAUGGUGAGCCUACAAGAGCAAAAAGCAAAUAAUACUAUAGUUUAUUAUUGCUAUAAUCCACUGAACACAGACCGCAGUGUCACACGCCCACUGAAAACGACUUGAUAUGGAAAACCAUGAAAAAUACGGCUACAAUGGCUUGAGGUCAGAAAUAUCAUAGAACAUAGUUUACAGCAAGACGCAAACCAACGAUAAGCCACUAUAACGACCCAGAGCCCUACCAUGAUGUAACCCAAAAGGUAUUGAUAAUUUUGUUUAUAUAAAUAUAAGUUAU